RNAcentral lists this ribosomal RNA (436 nucleotides) under uncultured bacterium. RNAcentral's name for it is "partial 16S ribosomal RNA". It matches the Rfam family "Bacterial small subunit ribosomal RNA", at positions 29 to 526 of the family's 1533-position model. The record is from RNAcentral.
AGUGAACGCUGGCGGCGUGCCUAAUACAUGCAAGUCGAACGAAGUGGCGCACGGGUGGGUAAUAUAUAGUUAAUCUGCCCUCCACUGAGGAACAACAGUUGGAAACGACUGCUAAUACCUCAUCGUGUAGUAUGAGACUAUAGGGUAUCAGGUAGUUGGUAAGGUAAUGGCUUACCAAGGCUAUGACGCGUCACUGGUCGGAGAGGAUGAUCAGUCACAUCGGGAAUGUGACACGGUCCAAAAGCCUACGGGAGGCAGGAGUAGGGAAGCUUCGGCAAUGGGGGGAACCCUGAACGAGCAACGCCGGGUGAGUGAAGAAGGGUUUCGGAGCGGAAAGCGCGUUUGUUAAGGAAGGUGUGAGAAUGGAAAGUUCAUGCUGUGACGGUACUUAACGAGAAAGCGACGGCUAACUACGUGCCAGCAGCCGCGGUAAUAC